Pecten maximus is the source of this 2920-nucleotide long non-coding RNA. RefSeq lists it as uncharacterized. The transcript has 2 exons. Lineage: Eukaryota; Metazoa; Mollusca; Bivalvia; Pectinida; Pectinidae. The record is from RefSeq and is a predicted model, not a curated record.
ACCGCAAAUUCCAAACAAUGGGUAGACGUUCCCACAUACAUAUGUACCUGCAUAUGAUGGACUCUGGUUCAUUAUAUAUUUCGUUGUAAUUCCUUUUGUGAAACAUUUUGUUACUAUGUUACAUUACGCAAUAUAUUUUGUCAUCGUAAAUCAUUAGUGUUAUAAUUUACUAUAUUGGUUGAUUAUGUUAUAUAUAUUGUCAUUGCUUUUCAUAACGUUAUAUUUACAUUCUAUGUUGCAAUUGUCUAUAUGUCGUUAUAAAACCAAAUUGUAGCUUUGAGACUGUAUACUUUAUUUUACAGUGAUUUGAUGAGUAUGUUCAUGGUAAAACAAAUUUCAAAUAGCUGCCAAUUACUUUCGGUACACUAUCAACAGAACAAGGGAGCCUUAAAAUGUGUUAGCAUUUAGUAACAUCAACCACAAAAAAACGAAGACAAAAACCAUCACAGUUAUUACGCUGAAUAUUCAUUACAAGAAAUGUAGUUUUCACAAAAAUAUUAUAAGCGUUAUUCUAGAUACAAAAAUUACAAAAUUUAUUGACGUCGUCAUAGGGGCUCGUUUCCGAAUUUCAAGAAAUGUAAGACAUGGGGACAGCAAAAGUCAAGCAUUUAUAAAAACCUUUUGAAAAUCUGGGACAUCGUUAUGGUUUUCAGAUGGGUAUACAUGUAUAUAUACACUGAUUUGACCGAUUUGAAAUCCAAUCUCUUUCAAUAUCCUUCGAAUGUUUUUCACCUACUGUCAGGAUGACUUUCAUUUGGAGUUUAAGAGCCGAAAAUAACGCAAAUUAUGUCGAAAGAAACAUAACCGUUUCUGAGGAAACAAAAGAAUCCACCCGGUGCAAUACACGUUCAACGCCAGAACACUUCUAAAUGAUAAUUAUAUAUCAGUGCGCCAAAAUCCUCUCUAAUUAUCACACAAAAAAUGCCUACUUAGCAGCCAAACAUAGAUCAGUAGAGGAAUAAGGUUUUAUUCACAUUUGUUACACAACAUGUGUCAUAAAACAACACAGAAUACCUUGCCGUUUUGGUAUAGAAUGUACAAUAAAAAACCCUCAGAACAAAUAUUUAGAUGCCGUCUCCUCUUCUGCACAAUACCACCUGAUCGGCAAAUCAUAGCGAAUUCUCGCGCGACCACAUUAAAUUACAAUGUCACGUUUUCAAAAUGAAAUCUGGGGUUCCGUGAUUAAUUAAAUCAGACUUUGUGGAGCUUUAAACAGAUCUGGCUUCAUUUAAAAUGUAAUAAUGCUUUAAAUUUAACACUGAAAUAAAAUAUAUAUUAAGUUUAGCGUUUCUUUGACGCUAUAUAGCCAAUAUAAUCAUACAUGCGAUGUCAACUUGAAACUGAAAUGUUUUAAAUGUGUAUUCCGCAAACGAUAUUAUCGAUAUGCUUGCAUCAUACCACUAAUAAUUAAUAGAUAUGAUUAAUCAUUAUGGUCUUUUAGAGUUAAUCGGUAUACUGGAGUAUUGGGAUAUAUAAAUGUUUUCUUUUGUAUAAAUUGUGUAAGUCAUCAUUUCAAUUUUCUACGUGUACUAUAAGUAUAUCCCACCCACUCAAUUUUGUCUUCAUGGUAUAAUAUUAAAUCCACUAUAUUUACUAGAACGUAUGCUACGUAAAUAUGUUAAUACGGUAUAUUUAUACCAAAUGUAUGUACUGAUAUCGACUGUUAUUGUACAUUCCUUUUUUAUAUUUUUUUUUUAUAUUUUUUUUUUUUUUUUAUUUUUCAUUUUUGUGCAUAUGUACUUGUUAGUCAUAUUAAUAGACAAGAUGUGGAUCACAAAAGAUAACGUCCCUAUAUCUAAUUGUACAGGGAAAAGCAGUAAUAAUCUUUUGACAUGAAUAUACAUCAAUUACAUCAUUGUUAUACAUUUGGGUCAAGGGCUUCACCAACCGGGGAGAAACGAUUUCAAUGAAAAUAACGACAAUAAUCUUUUGUGUAGAAAAAAAUGUAACAAACUGAAGGUGUGUUUAUUUAGGCAGAAUGCACUCUCACAAAUCGAAGUUAUCUAGCUUAGUCGAUAACUAAGGAUAAACAUGUCUUACAAUACGACACAUUAUGAUUUGAAGUGUGACAAAACCCCUUUUUAAGGACACUUAUUUAACAGGCCUAUAUUUAAUGAAAUAAAGCCAAUGUUUGGCCCCUGCUUUUGGGAUACUAAUUUAACAAACCUAUGUUUAAUGCAAUAAAGUCAAUAUUUGACCCCUGCAUUAGAGAUAAUAAUUGAACACGCCUAUGUUUAAUGCAAUAAAUUUAAUGUUUUACCUCUGAUUUAGGGACACUAACUUAACAAACAUAUAUUCAAUGCAAUAAAGUCAAUAUUUGACCCCGGUUAGUGAAAGCAGAAUUACGUUUUUGGUUAUGAUAUACGACAAAUAUACGAAUUUUGAUAAUUGAAAUGUUAGGGCGAGUGUCGAGAUGACCACCAUUUCCAAGUAAACAUAUCAGGAAUCAUACGCGCCAAUACCUGCAUUCAUUGGGCAGUUAUCUUAUUGUCCACGGUGGUUUAGACAAUAUAAAAAAGGCACGUUUACCUUGACAAUUUGCCAUUCUGCUUGUCGCCUUUCCUGUAUAGAUAAAACUUUUAUUGUUUUAAAGAUAUCGCUUAUAUUUAAUAUUGUACGGCUAAGCUUCCACGUAAUCACAUUAUAGUAGUUAUUCUUACAAAACGUAGCUCUCUAUAAAACCUUCUUGUUAUUUACUGAAAAAAAUAUUAUAGUUAUAUUGAAUAUGAAUUGUUGUAAUUAAUUCAAGAUAUGUAUUGAGAAACGGAUAAGCGUAAUGAUAAACGAAACUGUUAAUGUCCAUGGUAAUUGUUGUAUACGUCUUAUUUGGUUUUAAUUCAAGUAUUGUUUGAAGUAUUGUUAUUUGUUAUUAUUGUAUAUUGAUUCAUUCUUUAUCACAAAUAAAAUAUAGAAGCUGCCA